GACGAACCGUGCGAACGUUGUUCGGAAUCACUGGGCUUAAAGGGCGCGUAGGCGGGUUCGAAAGUCUGUGGUGAAAGCCUCCAGCUUAACUGGAGAAGUGCCAUGGAUACUGCGAACCUGGAGGAGGGUAGGGGCUACCGGAACAAAUGGUGGAGCGGUGAAAUGCGUAGAUAUCAUUUGGAACGCCAAUGGUGAAAACAGGUAGCUGGGAGUGUGCUGACGCUGAGACACGAAAGCCAGGGGAGCGAACGGG
Molecule: ribosomal RNA, 253 nt
Filed under: uncultured bacterium
Lineage: Bacteria
Description: partial 16S ribosomal RNA
Rfam family: Bacterial small subunit ribosomal RNA
Source: RNAcentral